RNAcentral lists this ribosomal RNA (1758 nucleotides) under Cryptosporidium parvum Iowa II. RNAcentral describes it as "18S ribosomal RNA". Lineage: Eukaryota; Apicomplexa; Conoidasida; Eucoccidiorida; Cryptosporidiidae. The record is from RNAcentral.
AGUAAAAUAUGAAGAGGCGGAGAAACUCGCACAAGAAAAUAACAUUAUGUUCAUUGAAACUAGUGCAAAAAAUGGAUACAACAUCAAGUCUCUGUUUAAAAAGCUCGCUUCAACACUUCCUAAUUUAGACUACAUUCAGGAAGGAAAGAAUGAAGCAAACAGUUCCAGUAGCUUAGAAAACAAUAAUGCCAAUAAAAUCGUUGAUUUACAAUCUGGGGAAGAAAACAGUCGCUUUAACUAUAAAAAAUGUUCGUGUUAAAGCAAUUUUAACUACUCAAAUUAUUUAAUCAAAAUAUUAUAUUCUACUAGUUUUGUUAUAAAUUUCAUUUUCUUUUAUUUAACUUUUAGUCGGAUUAAUCAUUUGUUUAAGAUAGCGCCAAUUAAAGUACGACGUGUAAUUAUUACUAUUUGUGCCAUUAAAGUCGAUGCACUUUGAAAUAAACUGAUUAGAUAAUUACUAUUGUGUUUCUGAAAUAUGUAAAGAUAUGGACAGAAAUGGUUGGAGUGAAUAUUUGAAGAAGCAAAGACUUCAGGACUUAAAAUCCUUAGCAAAACAACUUGGUAUUUACAUUAAAUCCAAUACAAAAAAAAGUGAUUGUAUCGACAUCAUUCUGAAUAAUUCCCCUGACACUCCUCUAAGUUCCAAUAAUCUUGAUUUUAUACUUAAAGAAAAAAUAUCAAAUGAUCAACACAAUUUUCCUUCUGAAACAUCAAUUUUGUCCAAUAUUAGUGAGUCAACUAAUUUAAAUAACAUUAAAAUAAGUGAGUAUUUUCAUACUGCUUCGGAUACUAUUUGCGAUUCAUCUUGUUCCAUGUGCCAAAAAAACCUUUCCGAUAGUAUAGUUAACUGCGAUGCUUGUUACAGACCAUUUCACUCUCGCUGUGUAGGUUUUGAUAUCAAAAGAGCUGAAUUCAAUAAUAAUCAUAUGAUGGUUUUCAUGGAAAGUAUAUCAAAAAAAGAUGGCAAAAAAUCCAAGGCUAAUUUAAUUAAUUUUAUUUGCCCGUUUUGUAGAUUCUUUGUAAUCGACCCAUAUAACAAAAUAAUCAAGCCACUUUUUUUUACGACUUUUUAUUCUUACACAGCAAUUCACAAUAUACAUCCAAAGUAUGGAAACAUUAACUUUAAUAACUCAAGCCAUCUUCCUCACUUUACAUCUAAGUAUUCUUUCUCUCCAAAUCUAUUUUUGAAUAAUGAUUUAGAAUCUAAUGACCCGGAUGCUUUCAAUAUUAUGGUUUAUUGUCUAAGACUUGAUAGAAUGGAUCUUAAUCAUGAGUUCCCAAGAGUCCUAUUUAUUAAAGCUAAUGGAAAGGUUAUUCAAAACAUUGAAUCUCCGAGCUACGAUCAUAUUAGAAGAGAUUGUCCAUUAUAUUUGAAGGAUUAUUUAGUUAAUAAUCAAUUGAUGACAAAGCAAAAUGUCAAUAUUACGUUUAGCACAUUAAAUGCACUACUUAAAGACUCAGAAAAUGGUGAGUUGUUGCCUAUUCCUACGGCACCGUAUAUAAUUGGCUUGUUUUUAACCAAAACAAUAAGUUGCGAUAAUAUUUUGGAUACUAUACUUUCUGAAGGCACAUUAUCCAUUGAAAUUUCAAAAGCUCACUUCAAAAAUAUUUUAGAAAAUAAGAUCCAAUCAUCUAUAUAUAACCAAUUAUAUGAUGACUCAUCAGAUGAGAUAAUCUGCUUGAAUAAAGACCAGUAUUUAAAUACCUUAUGCCCUUUAACUAUGGAUACCAUUGAACUUCCUGGACGUGGCAUAUUUU